AUUGAACGCUGGCGGCAUGCUUUACACAUGCAAGUCGAACGGUAACAGGCCGCAAGGUGCUGACGAGUGGCGAACGGGUGAGUAAUGCAUCGGAACGUGCCCAGUCGUGGGGGAUAACGCAGCGAAAGCUGCGCUAAUACCGCAUACGAUCUAUGGAUGAAAGCGGGGGACCGUAAGGCCUCGCGCGAUUGGAGCGGCCGAUGUCAGAUUAGGUAGUUGGUGGGGUAAAGGCUCACCAAGCCGACGAUCUGUAGCUGGUCUGAGAGGACGACCAGCCACACUGGGACUGAGACACGGCCCAGACUCCUACGGGAGGCAGCAGUGGGGAAUUUUUGGACAAUGGGGGGCAACCCUGAUCCAGCAAUGCCGCGUGCAGGAAGAAGGCCUCGGGUUGUAAAACUGCUUUUUGUACGGAACGAAAACGGCUCUGGUUAAUACCCGGGGCUAAUGACGGUACCGUAAGAAUAAGCACCGGCUAACUACGUGCCAGCAGCCGCGGUAAUACGUAGGGUGCGAGCGUUAAUCGGAAUUACUGGGCGUAGAGCGUGCGCAGGCGGUGCUGUAAGACAGGCGUGAAAUCCCCGGGGCUCAACCUGGGAAUGGCGCUUGUGACUGCAGUGCUGGAGUGCGGCAGAGGGGGAUGGAAUUCCGCGUGUAGCAGUGAAAUGCGUAGAUAUGCGGAGGAACACCGAUGGCGAAGGCAAUCCCCUGGGCCUGCACUGACGCUCAUGCACGAAAAGCGUGGGGGAGCAAAACAGGAUUAGAUACCCUGGUAG
This 776-nucleotide ribosomal RNA is filed under the name uncultured bacterium. RNAcentral describes it as "bacterial SSU rRNA". It matches the Rfam family "Bacterial small subunit ribosomal RNA", at positions 28 to 793 of the family's 1533-position model. The record is from RNAcentral.